Molecule: ribosomal RNA, 253 nt
Filed under: uncultured bacterium
Lineage: Bacteria
Description: partial 16S ribosomal RNA
Rfam family: Bacterial small subunit ribosomal RNA
Source: RNAcentral
UACGUAGGGUGCGAGCGUUGUUCGGAAUCAUUGGGCGUAAAGCGUGAGUAGGUGGUUUGCUAAGUCGGGUGUGAAAUCCCUGGGCUCAACCCAGGAAGUGCAUUCGAAACUAGCUCACUUGAAGAUGGUAGAGGAAGGUGGAAUUCCAAGUGUAGAGGUGAAAUUCGUAGAUAUUUGGAGGAAUACCGGCGGCGAAGGCGGCCUUCUGGACCAUUCUUGACACUGAGACACGAAAGCGUGGGUAGCAAACAGG